ACACCGGCAGCUCAAGUGGUAGCCGCUUUUAUUGGGCCUAAAGCGUCCGUAGCCGGUCUGAUAAGUCUCUGGUGAAAUCCCACAGCUUAACUGUGGGAAUUGCUGGAGAUACUAUCAUGACUCGAGGUCGGGAGAGGCUGGAGGUACUCCCAGGGUAGGGGUGAAAUCCUGUAAUCCUGGGAGGACCACCUGUGGCGAAGGCGUCCAGCUGGAACGAACCUGACGGUGAGGGACGAAAGCCAGGGGCGCGAACCGGAUUAGAUACCCGGGUAGUCCUGGCCGUAAACGAUGUGGACUUGGUGUUGGGAUGGCCUCGAGCUGCCCCAGUGCCGAAGGGAAGCUGUUAAGUCCACCGCCUGGGAAGUACGGUCGCAAGACUGAAACUCAAAUGAAUUGACGGGG
This 402-nucleotide ribosomal RNA is filed under the name uncultured bacterium. RNAcentral describes it as "partial 16S ribosomal RNA". It matches the Rfam family "Archaeal small subunit ribosomal RNA", at positions 473 to 873 of the family's 1478-position model. The record is from RNAcentral.